AUUGAACGCUGGCGGCAGGCCUAACACAUGCAAGUCGAACGGUAACAGGAAGCAGCUUGCUGCUUCGCUGACGAGUGGCGGACGGGUGAGUAAUGUCUGGGAAGCUGCCUGAUGGAGGGGGAUAACUGCUGGAAACGGUAGCUAAUACCGCAUAAUGUCGCAAGACCAAAGAGGGGGACCUUCGGGCCUCUUGCCAUCGGAUGUGCCCAGAUGGGAUUAGCUUGUUGGUGGGGUAACGGCUCACCAAGGCGACGAUCCCUAGCUGGUCUGAGAGGAUGACCAGCCACACUGGGACUGAGACACGGUCCAGACUCCUACGGGAGGCAGCAGUGGGGAAUAUUGCACAAUGGGCGCAAGCCUGAUGCAGCCAUGCCGCGUGUAUGAAGAAGGCCUUCGGGUUGUAAAGUACUUUCAGCGGGGAGGAAGGGAGUAAAGUUAAUACCUUUGCUCAUUGACGUUACCCGCAGAAGAAGCACCGGCUAACUCCGUG
Molecule: ribosomal RNA, 490 nt
Filed under: uncultured bacterium
Lineage: Bacteria
Description: partial 16S ribosomal RNA
Rfam family: Bacterial small subunit ribosomal RNA
Source: RNAcentral